GAGCGGCAGACGCCGAGGCGAGGGACGCGCGGCGGGCGGCGGCUCCGAACAGCGGCCGGGCGGGGGGCGCUGGAGGCCAGGCCGGCCAGGGGGGAUCCCGAGAGCUCCAUGAAGUUCCCCCGGGGCCGCGGACGGGGCGCUGGCUUAGGGAGGCUGUCGGGGGAGCCCCGACACCCAUGGCAAGGCGGGGGCCGCGGCGGCGCGCUCGGAGUAAGUCGGGGCCGGGGGCCGGAGCUCAGGGGAGGAGGCCGGAAUUAGGCAGGGGUGACUCCCGGCCUGGCCAGAUGGCCAGGCUGCUCUGUCUCGGAGUCGGUCGGCGGCGCCUCCACGGAGCCCGAUGGAGCCGCCAGCCCCGCGCCGCUCAGCUCAGUGGCUUUUUUGGAAACUUGCAAAUGUUUUCGUAGAGAAAGAAGGGGGAGGGGAGGGAGCGAGCGAGGGAGUGACCGAAACAGAGCUUGGGGCUGCUGGAAGAACGGAGGCCAAGGCCAGGGGAGCUGGAGACGGACUGACAGACAGGCUGACAGAGCGUCGGGGCCGCAGGCGCGCUCUUGCCGCGCGGGCGCAGGCGGGACUCGGACAGAGGAUGGGGAGGGGGUGCGCGAGGCGGCGGACUGGGGAUGAGGAUCUAAGGGUGCCGAAGGACCCAGGGGCUGGGAGCUGGAGGUCAGAACACCGGAGGGCUCAGUGUCGUUGCAAACUUGGGAUCGCAUCCCCGAGCUGCACGCCCCGCGCGGCUCAAAACUCGGCCCCUGCCCCGCCCCAAUUCCCCUACUGCAGACCGCCGCUGAGCUAAAAAUAACAGCCCUGUUCGCCCCCCGCAGACCGCGACCCCGACCCCUCC
This 841-nucleotide long non-coding RNA is filed under the name Marmota monax (woodchuck). The record is from RNAcentral. Lineage: Eukaryota; Metazoa; Chordata; Mammalia; Rodentia; Sciuridae.